AGAGUUUGAUCAUGGCUCAGAGUGAACGCUGGCGGCGUGCCUAACACAUGCAAGUCGCACGAGAACGCUUCAGCUUGCUGAAGCAAGUAAAGUGGCGCACGGGUGAGUAACGCGUGGGUAAUCUACCUUCGAAUCGGGGAUAACUCCGCGAAAGCGGGGCUAAUACCGGAUGAUCUUUCAGAGGCUACGGCUUUUGAAAUUAAAGGGGGCCUCUACAUGUAAGCUCCUGUUUGAAGAUGAGCCCGCGUACCAUUAGCUUGUUGGUGGGGUAACGGCCUACCAAGGCUACGAUGGUUAGCUGGUCUGAGAGGAUGAUCAGCCACACUGGCACUGACACACGGGCCAGACUCCUACGGGAGGCAGCAGUGAGGAAUUUUGCGCAAUGGGGGAAACCCUGACGCAGCAACGCCGCGUGAGUGAUGAAAGGCUUUUCGGGGUCGUAAAACUCUGUCAAAGUGGGAAGACUUGUAAAAUGUCAAAUAUCAUUUUGCACUGACGGUACCCACUGAAGGAAGCACCGGCUAACUCCGUGCCAGCAGCCGCGGUAAUACGGAGGGUGCAAGCGUUACUCGGAAUUACUGGGCGUAAAGGGCGCGUAGGCGGUUCGAUUAGUCAGAUGUGAAAGCCCGGGGCUUAACCCUGGAAGUGCAUUUGAAACUGUCGAACUUGAGUAUGGGAGAGGGAAGUGGAAUUCCUGGUGUAGAGGUGAAAUUCGUAGAUAUCAGGAGGAACAUCGGUGGCGAAGGCGACUUCCUGGACCAAUACUGAGCUGAUGCGCGAAGGCGUGGGUAGCAAACAGGAUUAGAUACCCUAGUAGUCC
Molecule: ribosomal RNA, 820 nt
Filed under: uncultured bacterium
Lineage: Bacteria
Description: bacterial SSU rRNA
Rfam family: Bacterial small subunit ribosomal RNA
Source: RNAcentral